AGAGUUUAUCCCUCGUCAUCUCUGACCUUCUUUUCCCAAUUUAAGCCAGAAAAUUAGGCGAAAAGGAUGGGAGUAGGAUGGAGAAAUGUCCCCAGUAUGGGUGGUUCUGGGGACAUGAUGACAGCAGCAGCAAUUACCUCCAGGAAGAGUGACAUCAUUGCAGGAACUCGAGACAUUCAGGAGCCUGCAAGGAAAGGCAGGGAACAAGAACACUGCCUUGUGAACAGACUUGGAGGGCAGAACCAGGAGCUGGGGAUCCAGUUACUUAGUUGAUUAGGGCUGGAGCCGGACUUCGUGGCACUAGGACCAAUGCCCUGCGGACACACAGGGAAUGCAACAAACCUCAGGGAUGAUCAUACUUUUGGCAAAUAGUUCAGAAUGUUGGCAGAUGCCCAAAUGGAAGAGGAUCUGGCGUGGACAUAUGCUUGAAACCAUUGUCGUCACCUCAAUUCAAGAUUAUACUCACAUUUCCUUCUGGUAUUGGCACCACCUUCUCACUCCGAGACCAAACAGUGCUAUGCAGAAAGAGAGCAAAGC
Molecule: long non-coding RNA, 537 nt
Organism: Neogale vison (American mink)
Lineage: Eukaryota; Metazoa; Chordata; Mammalia; Carnivora; Mustelidae
Exons: 3
Source: RefSeq, a predicted model, not a curated record